Molecule: long non-coding RNA, 1765 nt
Organism: Cavia porcellus (domestic guinea pig)
Lineage: Eukaryota; Metazoa; Chordata; Mammalia; Rodentia; Caviidae
Exons: 3
Source: RefSeq, a predicted model, not a curated record
UGAACAUUUUGAAGGAGGAGAGGAACAAAUCAAUCUCACCCUGUCCAAUUCUUCCACUGAAUACGGGCAUUCAGUGCGUAGUUGCACCUCAGUUCCUACCUCGGCAAACUGAAAACCACAUGGAUAAUUAAACUUCUCUGGGCCUCUACUCCUCACCAGGCAGUUUAUCACCUUGAUCUGUAUGGAAAAUGACAUUAUGAUGGAGGAGUCUUGAGAGAAACAAGGACAUAAAAAUUGGCAUGUGCUUAGGAAGACACACUUUAGAGGAGAUCUGUAGAUUUUGGGAAUCCAGGAAGUGAAGCACCAUAUCAGAGACAUCUGAUGAAGAAGGAAUAGGCAGACAUCAGCACAGCAUCAGAUGUCUAACAAAGGAACAAUGGAACCUGGAGCAGGUGGAAUUCAGGAAUGGGGAAUUCCUUUCAAGGUAGCAUUUGGAACUCUAGCUUGGAAAUCCAGUCAAGAAAAUGCAUGCAUGGUCUAAAAAGCACAUGCACUGGGCUGAAGAGUAACAGGCAGCUCCAGGUUUUCCUGGUAAGUCACUGCACUUUAGAAAGCAGAGAAUGACCAGGAGACUGAGCUCCACCAAACCAAGGUAAGGCAGGGUAUACAGAAAAGCCACGUCUCUGGUCCACCCAAGGUGGGCACCAAGGACAGCAGAGGGGCUGAGGACUGUUAGGGGGAAACUAUGUCCAAAAUAUCAAUCUUCCAUUCAAAUAAUUAAUUAAUUUGGUGGCAAAUUUUGGAGACAGCCACAAAUUUUUUCCAGGAGAACAUUUCUGAUAAAAGACUGAAUGCUUCCUAGAAAAGCAAUAAAUUUUCCCCCAAAAGCUGGACAAGGAGAGGGCAUGGAGCCGAGACCAUGCUCUGAGCUCCUCCUGAGUACCAGGAACACUAUGAACCCGAGGACCUCUUAGCUCACAGGGCUGCUGGUCAGAGAAUGAGGACGCCAACUUAUCUAAAAAUGGUGGAAGGCACUAGUGCAAAGACAUGUUCCCAUGUCCCCAUUGUAGAGAGGAACAAGGAAGCGGGCACGCAGAGGUCAGAUGGCAGCAGCAGGGGUCAGGCAUUUAACAUUUGCUGCAUGACAGAAGGAUCAGCCUCCAUGUCUGUCUCCCUUUUGUCAGCUCUGUGCAGCUUUGGCCCUCAUCCAAGCUUUUUGGUCAUCCUAGAGGGACAGCCUGGAGGAACAAAGGGCCAAAGGUGUGCGUGGGGCUGGGAGAGGACAUGCCAGAGGCCUCUGCUCCCCUCUCCUUUCUCUCCCUGCCCCCCUCUGCCUGGCGCCUCUCUUCCAGUGCCAGCUCCCUCCUGUGCCAGCACCACAGUGACAAUAUGAGACAUCGCAUCUAAAGAAGCACAGCCAAAUAUUUGAUUUGGACGAUUACACUGAAGAAGCCUCAUCACAACUGUGGGUGCCCAGAUUACCAACUCCCUGCUCUUGGCUCUGGUACACCUCGCAAUUCAGAAAUGCCUGGCGAUGAGAAAGCAAUUGCUUUUUGUGGGAGAUCACAGAACAAGCCCAGUGAAUCUGACUCUCUUCUCUGGACACAAGUGGAUGACCUCCUCUUCCAUUUUCUGGUGGAAGUGACCUGGCAAGCCGGACCUAGGCUCAGCUCUUUCCAGCACCUUACUAUGCUAGUGUGUCGAAAUGGUCGGGGCACAAAUAAAGCCAUCUUGCACCGUCAGCACCAAACCAGCUCUUCAUCAUGGUUUUACCCUACAAAGAGUAAUAUCCAUUACACUGCAUGCAAAAAUUCUUGAUGCUCCC